Molecule: long non-coding RNA, 655 nt
Organism: Oreochromis niloticus (Nile tilapia)
Lineage: Eukaryota; Metazoa; Chordata; Actinopteri; Cichliformes; Cichlidae
Exons: 4
Source: RefSeq, a predicted model, not a curated record
UACGUGGGCGUUACAGGCUGCCUUAAGUGAUAGCUGUUAUUUUGUUAAAAACACCCACAUGCAUUGCCACUGCUGAGCCCCCAUCGACAAGUGAAAGUAAAGCAUACUCACCAGAUAAUUUGCAUUGAAUGCAAUGCAAAACUUUGUUUCCCACCCACAUUUCCGCUGCUGAGUCUCCUUUGGCUGUUAAAUCCACUCGAAUCCAGAUUGCAUAUAAAGACUGAGUAGACUUGUAAUGACUGACAAGUGAAAGUGAAGUUGCGGUCACAACAAUGACAACAACGAAUCCUCCACGUUACCUUCCAUUUCAGGACAGCAUGUAUGAUGGGAAUGGGGAUCAACAAUCAAUGGUUCAGCACACCACUGUGAUCAUCAGCACUGAGCCACCAAAAGACCAUAUUAUCUGGUCCCUCCUCUGCUUUUUCUACUCAAACCCUUGUUGUCUUGGACUUGCAGCUCUUAUUUAUUCUAUCAAGGCCAGAGACCGGAAGGUGGCUGGAGAUUUGGAGGGUGCCCGGCAUUAUGGGGCCACUGCUCGCCAGCUUAACAUCACCUCCACAGUCCUGGUUGCCCUUGGACUCCUGAUAUUCAUUAUUACGAUCGCAGUUGUUUUUGCACGGAUAUCUCGUUAAGCCCUCAAAGUAACAAACCCUGA